This 301-nucleotide ribosomal RNA is filed under the name uncultured bacterium. Its description in RNAcentral is "partial 16S ribosomal RNA". It matches the Rfam family "Bacterial small subunit ribosomal RNA", at positions 509 to 807 of the family's 1533-position model. The record is from RNAcentral.
CAGCAGCCACGGUAAUACGUAGGUGGCAAGCGUUGUCCGGAAUUAUUGGGCGUAAAGGGCUCGCAGGCGGUUUCUUAAGUCUGAUGUGAAAGCCCCCGGCUCAACCGGGGAGGGUCAUUGGAAACUGGGAAACUUGAGUGCAGAAGAGGAGAGUGGAAUUCCACGUGUAGCGGUGAAAUGCGUAGAGAUGUGGAGGAACAUCAGUGGCGAAGGCGACUCUCUGGUCUGUAACUGACGCUGAGGAGCGAAAGCGUGGGGAGCGAACAGGAUUAGAUACCCGCGUAGUCCCUGUCUCUUAUAC